Peromyscus eremicus (cactus mouse) is the source of this 413-nucleotide long non-coding RNA. RefSeq lists it as uncharacterized. Lineage: Eukaryota; Metazoa; Chordata; Mammalia; Rodentia; Cricetidae. The transcript has 4 exons. The record is from RefSeq and is a predicted model, not a curated record.
UAACCGCAUUUGGGUUUGAACUGCCAAGAGGUUCUACUGACCACAUUGCCAUGCCUGGAAGAACCGAGGACUCGUGAGUGAAGAAUGCUAAGUCACGCAGCCUCUAGGAAGGUUCCCCUCUAGGCGGCAGGGACCCUCCCCACACCCAGCAAUGGGCAGAAGUCCUGAGGGCUCACAAAGAACGCUGGGGUGAGGCGGAAUGGGAGUGGAGCUGAGGAUCCAGCUUCAGCAAGAGUCAGUGAAACGUACCCAGAGGUCAGAAGAGGACAUCAGAAGCCCUAGAGCUGCUGGGAACCGAACUCUGCUCCUCCACAAGGCUCCCUCUGGGAAGGGGUGGGAAGGUGCAGCAUCAAUGACUCAGACACCAGGAAUACGUUGAAAGCAAAUAACGAACUCAUUUAUCCAAUAACAAG